UACGUAGGGUGCAAGCGUUUAAUCGGAAUUACUGGGCGUAAAGCGUGCGCAGGCGGUUUUGUAAGACCGAUGUGAAAUCCCCGGGCUUAACCUGGGAACUGCAUUGGUGACUGCAAGGCUUGAGUGUGUCAGAGGGAGGUGGAAUUCCGCGUGUAGCAGUGAAAUGCGUAGAUAUGCGGAGGAACACCGAUGGCGAAGGCAGCCUCCUGGGAUAACACUGACGCUCAUGCACGAAAGCGUGGGGAGCAAACAGG
This 254-nucleotide ribosomal RNA is filed under the name uncultured bacterium. Its description in RNAcentral is "partial 16S ribosomal RNA". It matches the Rfam family "Bacterial small subunit ribosomal RNA", at positions 524 to 776 of the family's 1533-position model. The record is from RNAcentral.